UAAAAGGCGGCUUUUGCCGUCACUUUCAGAUGGACCCGCGGCGCAUUAGCUAGUUGGUAAGGUAACGGCUUACCAAGGCAACGAUGCGUAGCCGACCUGAGAGGGUGAUCGGCCACACUGGGACUGAGACACGGCCCAGACUCCUACGGGAGGCAGCAGUAGGGAAUCUUCCGCAAUGGACGAAAGUCUGACGGAGCAACGCCGCGUGAACGAUGAAGGUCUUCGGAUCGUAAAGUUCUGUUGUUAGGGAAGAACAAGUACCAGAGGAAAUGCUGGUACCUUGACGGUACCUAACCAGAAAGCCACGGCUAACUACGUGCCAGCAGCCGCGGUAAUACGUAGGUGGCAAGCGUUGUCCGGAAUUAUUGGGCGUAAAGCGCGCGCAGGCGGUUCCUUAAGUCUGAUGUGAAAGCCCACAGCUCAACUGUGGAGGGCCAUUGGAAACUGGGGAACUUGAGUACAGAAGAGGAGAGCGGAAUUCCACGUGUAGCGGUGAAAUGCGUAGAUAUGUGGAGGAACACCAGUGGCGAA
This 531-nucleotide ribosomal RNA is filed under the name Pontibacillus sp. SS13-1. RNAcentral's name for it is "bacterial SSU rRNA". It matches the Rfam family "Bacterial small subunit ribosomal RNA", at positions 201 to 719 of the family's 1533-position model. Lineage: Bacteria; Bacillati; Bacillota; Bacilli; Caryophanales; Bacillaceae. The record is from RNAcentral.